This 2904-nucleotide ribosomal RNA is filed under the name Escherichia coli. Its description in RNAcentral is "23S ribosomal RNA". It matches the Rfam family "Bacterial large subunit ribosomal RNA". Lineage: Bacteria; Pseudomonadati; Pseudomonadota; Gammaproteobacteria; Enterobacterales; Enterobacteriaceae. The record is from RNAcentral. RNAcentral also lists the same sequence under 1 other name.
GGUUAAGCGACUAAGCGUACACGGUGGAUGCCCUGGCAGUCAGAGGCGAUGAAGGACGUGCUAAUCUGCGAUAAGCGUCGGUAAGGUGAUAUGAACCGUUAUAACCGGCGAUUUCCGAAUGGGGAAACCCAGUGUGUUUCGACACACUAUCAUUAACUGAAUCCAUAGGUUAAUGAGGCGAACCGGGGGAACUGAAACAUCUAAGUACCCCGAGGAAAAGAAAUCAACCGAGAUUCCCCCAGUAGCGGCGAGCGAACGGGGAGCAGCCCAGAGCCUGAAUCAGUGUGUGUGUUAGUGGAAGCGUCUGGAAAGGCGCGCGAUACAGGGUGACAGCCCCGUACACAAAAAUACACAUACUGUGAGCUCGAUGAGUAGGGCGGGACACGUGGUAUCCUGUCUGAAUAUGGGGGGACCAUCCUCCAAGGCUAAAUACUCCUGACUGACCGAUAGUGAACCAGUACCGUGAGGGAAAGGCGAAAAGAACCCCGGCGAGGGGAGUGAAAAAGAACCUGAAACCGUGUACGUACAAGCAGUGGGAGCACGCUUAGGCGUGUGACUGCGUACCUUUUGUAUAAUGGGUCAGCGACUUAUAUUCUGUAGCAAGGUUAACCGAAUAGGGGAGCCGAAGGGAAACCGAGUCUUAACUGGGCGUUAAGUUGCAGGGUAUAGACCCGAAACCCGGUGAUCUAGCCAUGGGCAGGUUGAAGGUUGGGUAACACUAACUGGAGGACCGAACCGACUAAUGUUGAAAAAUUAGCGGAUGACUUGUGGCUGGGGGUGAAAGGCCAAUCAAACCGGGAGAUAGCUGGUUCUCCCCGAAAGCUAUUUAGGUAGCGCCUCGUGAAUUCAUCUCCGGGGGUAGAGCACUGUUUCGGCAAGGGGGUCAUCCCGACUUACCAACCCGAUGCAAACUGCGAAUACCGGAGAAUGUUAUCACGGGAGACACACGGCGGGUGCUAACGUCCGUCGUGAAGAGGGAAACAACCCAGACCGCCAGCUAAGGUCCCAAAGUCAUGGUUAAGUGGGAAACGAUGUGGGAAGGCCCAGACAGCCAGGAUGUUGGCUUAGAAGCAGCCAUCAUUUAAAGAAAGCGUAAUAGCUCACUGGUCGAGUCGGCCUGCGCGGAAGAUGUAACGGGGCUAAACCAUGCACCGAAGCUGCGGCAGCGACGCUUAUGCGUUGUUGGGUAGGGGAGCGUUCUGUAAGCCUGCGAAGGUGUGCUGUGAGGCAUGCUGGAGGUAUCAGAAGUGCGAAUGCUGACAUAAGUAACGAUAAAGCGGGUGAAAAGCCCGCUCGCCGGAAGACCAAGGGUUCCUGUCCAACGUUAAUCGGGGCAGGGUGAGUCGACCCCUAAGGCGAGGCCGAAAGGCGUAGUCGAUGGGAAACAGGUUAAUAUUCCUGUACUUGGUGUUACUGCGAAGGGGGGACGGAGAAGGCUAUGUUGGCCGGGCGACGGUUGUCCCGGUUUAAGCGUGUAGGCUGGUUUUCCAGGCAAAUCCGGAAAAUCAAGGCUGAGGCGUGAUGACGAGGCACUACGGUGCUGAAGCAACAAAUGCCCUGCUUCCAGGAAAAGCCUCUAAGCAUCAGGUAACAUCAAAUCGUACCCCAAACCGACACAGGUGGUCAGGUAGAGAAUACCAAGGCGCUUGAGAGAACUCGGGUGAAGGAACUAGGCAAAAUGGUGCCGUAACUUCGGGAGAAGGCACGCUGAUAUGUAGGUGAAGUCCCUCGCGGAUGGAGCUGAAAUCAGUCGAAGAUACCAGCUGGCUGCAACUGUUUAUUAAAAACACAGCACUGUGCAAACACGAAAGUGGACGUAUACGGUGUGACGCCUGCCCGGUGCCGGAAGGUUAAUUGAUGGGGUUAGCGCAAGCGAAGCUCUUGAUCGAAGCCCCGGUAAACGGCGGCCGUAACUAUAACGGUCCUAAGGUAGCGAAAUUCCUUGUCGGGUAAGUUCCGACCUGCACGAAUGGCGUAAUGAUGGCCAGGCUGUCUCCACCCGAGACUCAGUGAAAUUGAACUCGCUGUGAAGAUGCAGUGUACCCGCGGCAAGACGGAAAGACCCCGUGAACCUUUACUAUAGCUUGACACUGAACAUUGAGCCUUGAUGUGUAGGAUAGGUGGGAGGCUUUGAAGUGUGGACGCCAGUCUGCAUGGAGCCGACCUUGAAAUACCACCCUUUAAUGUUUGAUGUUCUAACGUUGACCCGUGAUCCGGGUUGCGGACAGUGUCUGGUGGGUAGUUUGACUGGGGCGGUCUCCUCCUAAAGAGUAACGGAGGAGCACGAAGGUUGGCUAAUCCUGGUCGGACAUCAGGAGGUUAGUGCAAUGGCAUAAGCCAGCUUGACUGCGAGCGUGACGGCGCGAGCAGGUGCGAAAGCAGGUCAUAGUGAUCCGGUGGUUCUGAAUGGAAGGGCCAUCGCUCAACGGAUAAAAGGUACUCCGGGGAUAACAGGCUGAUACCGCCCAAGAGUUCAUAUCGACGGCGGUGUUUGGCACCUCGAUGUCGGCUCAUCACAUCCUGGGGCUGAAGUAGGUCCCAAGGGUAUGGCUGUUCGCCAUUUAAAGUGGUACGCGAGCUGGGUUUAGAACGUCGUGAGACAGUUCGGUCCCUAUCUGCCGUGGGCGCUGGAGAACUGAGGGGGGCUGCUCCUAGUACGAGAGGACCGGAGUGGACGCAUCACUGGUGUUCGGGUUGUCAUGCCAAUGGCACUGCCCGGUAGCUAAAUGCGGAAGAGAUAAGUGCUGAAAGCAUCUAAGCACGAAACUUGCCCCGAGAUGAGUUCUCCCUGACUCCUUGAGAGUCCUGAAGGAACGUUGAAGACGACGACGUUGAUAGGCCGGGUGUGUAAGCGCAGCGAUGCGUUGAGCUAACCGGUACUAAUGAACCGUGAGGCUUAACCUU